UACGAAGGGUGCAAGCGUUGUUCGGAUUUAUUGGGCGUAAAGCGCGCGCAGGCGGAUUGGUAAGUCAUGUGUGAAAUCUCGAGGCUUAACCUCGAAAUUGCGCCUGAAACUGCCGAUCUAGAAUUCUGGAGAGGGAAGGGGAAUUUCUCAUGUAGGGGUAAAAUCCGUAGAUAUGAGAAGGAACACCGGAGGCGAAGGCGCCUUCCUGGACAGAUAUUGACGCUGAGGCGCGAAAGCGUGGGGAGCAAACAGG
Molecule: ribosomal RNA, 253 nt
Filed under: uncultured bacterium
Lineage: Bacteria
Description: partial 16S ribosomal RNA
Rfam family: Bacterial small subunit ribosomal RNA
Source: RNAcentral